Molecule: long non-coding RNA, 1891 nt
Filed under: Gossypium raimondii (Peruvian cotton)
Lineage: Eukaryota; Viridiplantae; Streptophyta; Magnoliopsida; Malvales; Malvaceae
Description: long non-coding RNA (GRAI_LNC006011)
Source: RNAcentral
GUCACGGACUUGGAGUUUUCCCACACAUCCGUGCGGCCUUAGGCAGUUUCUUGGCUUAAAAACGCCUAAGUCAGCCUAACUUCCACCGAUAAAGGAUUCAACAGCAAAAACGCCUAAGUCAGCUCAACUCGCAACAAUAAAGGAUUCAACAGAAUUCCCUUAAAGUUUCCACGAAGAACAGCGGAAGAACGAAAUAAGAACGAUCUUUGGAAGAUGAACAAAAGCAAGAACACUUGAGAGAAAAGUUUGAGUAAAUGCUCUCAAUUCUUAUUCACAAAGAAUAAUGAAACAAUUCAGGAGUGAGUACAAAUGAGGGGGAGGCUCUCUAUUUAUAGUUGAGCUCCCCCAAAACCGAUGGCUACAAUUAAAAGCUGUAUUCGAUUAGGACUCUAAGUUUACAGAAUUAGAAGCUGUGAACAAUUAGAACUUCUAAGACUACAUAGUCCUAUCUUCAUUAUCGGGCCCAUCAGGCUUCAAUCUGACAGGCCUGUCCAACAGCUCUUUGAAUCGGGCCAGUUCUCGUAGGCCAAAUGAUCCCCAUCUGAGCAACAGACCUCCAUUGGAUGCAUUUGGUGCGCUGGUCACGGGCUUUAAACUGCGGCCCGUGACAUUUUCCCCCACCCAUUCUCGCAACGCCCUCGUUGCGACUUCUGAAUGGCACUGACUUGAUUCGCCUCGGUCUCGUCUCGUCGCCUUAGCCUUUCCCUUUCUUCGGGAUUUUUGCCUCGGCUUCUGUUGCUUCUUAACUCGAGCCAUCCUACUCGUCGCAUUUACUCUGGUCAACUGUCCCACAUGCAUCGCUUCUUUUCCUUUGAAGUCUGAUGCACCACCCACCUCUCCCAUAGGUGGAAGCCUUGUCGAUGACUCGGCCAACUCCGACGCUUCACUCAACUUGAGCCUCAUUGGUUUCAGCUUCACUGUUUUCAUCGCAACUCUUUCCUCUAAGUUCGAUGACAAACUCACCUCUUCCUUGGGUGGAAGCCCCUUCGAUGACUCACCAAGCUCAGACGUUGCCUUUCUUUUGACUCCGGCUUGCUUUGGACAGUUCCGCAACUCAUGCGGACCACGGCACAAGAAGCACUUAACUCGCUUAUUUUUGCUCCUCUUUGCCCUCUUGGCUUCGGCUUUACCCUUGCUCGAACCAAGCUUCUUGGGUUCCUUGUCUGCUCCAUCGUUCCCCUCGAUGACAGACUUCUUCGGACACUUCCGCCUUUGUUCGAACUCUUCUUUCGACAUCCCAACGGUGCCUUUGAACCAACAACUCGAAUAUUACUUGGUUCAAACCUUGGCUCGGAUACCACUUGUCACGGACUUGGAGUUUUCCCACACAUUCGUGCGGCCUUAGGCAGUUUCUUGGCUUAAAAACGCCUAAGUCAACCUAACUUCCACCGAUAAAGGAUUCAAUAGCAAAAACGCCUAAGUCAGCUCAACUCGCAACAAUAAAGGAUUCAACAGAAUUCCCUUAAAGUUUCCACGAAGAACAGCGGAAGAACGAAAUAAGAACGAUCUUUGGAAGAUGAACAAAAGCAAGAACGCUUGAGAGAAAAGUUUGAGUAAAUGCUCUCAAUUCUUAUUCACAAAGAAUAAUGAAACAAUUCAGGAGUGAGUACAAAUGAGGGGGAGGCUCUCUAUUUAUAGUUGAGCUCCCCCAAAACCGAUGGCUACAAUUAAAAGCUGUAUUCGAUUAGGACUCUAAGUUUACAGAAUUAGAAGCUGUGAACAAUUAGAACUUCUAAGACUACAUAGUCCUAUCUUCAUUAUCGGGCCCAUCAGGCUUCAAUCUGACAGGCCUGGCCAACAGCUCUUUGAAUCGGGGCAGUUCUCGUAGGCCAAAUGAUCCCCAUCUGAGCAACAGACCUCCAUUGGAUGCAUUUGGUGCUCUGGUCACGGG